Long non-coding RNA from Acyrthosiphon pisum (pea aphid), 1784 nucleotides. RefSeq lists it as uncharacterized. Lineage: Eukaryota; Metazoa; Arthropoda; Insecta; Hemiptera; Aphididae. The record is from RefSeq and is a predicted model, not a curated record. The transcript is spliced from 7 exons.
AAUGUAUAGAUACCUACUUAAAAUUUCUUUCAGAUUAAGUUUUGAAAUAUUAACAUAAAAAGUAUAUUCGUCGUAAUCGCUUCGGAAUUACAUUGGCACCAAGAAGAAUAUACUUUAGUAAAAUUACUGAACACUAUUCUUAUUUCAUAUUUGAUCCAUUUCCAAACUUAAAAACUUUGAUGAGUCAGGCUUUAACAAAGAAAAAAAAAUUAAGCUCAUUACCGACACUUACAUAAUUAGAUAUUAAUAUUAUACCUUUAAUUUAUCCGUACAUUAUAAUACUGUUUCAUACUUUUACAGAUUUUUAAUUGGGAAGAUACGAAAAAUGGCUCAGACAGUUCUGUAUUAUUAGAAAAUUUUUUUUCCAUACAUCAACCCUAGUACUUGUCGACAAUUUUAUCAUAGAAAAGGAACUGCAGCAUUUGUGACUUACGAUAAGUUUUGUGCCGAAUCAGAAGAUGUUAAUGAUAUUACCGGAGCAGGUAUAAGCUUUUUACAUGGUAAUUCAUAUUAUUUAACCGGGGUACUGAGUCUCGUUCAUAUAGACACGUACUAUAAAGUCCCAGUUUUUACAGACAUUAAGUACCAUGUUCCAUGGAUUCGUGGGAUUUUAAACAAACACAUUUGACAGAUCAUAGUGAAUUCAUGCGUUUUACCAAGUUUCGAAGGAGUUGUAUAUUAUUAUGAAGGUUCUAAUGACAUUUUAUCUCACGGGACAUUGAUUAAUCGUCAUCGAACUGUUAUUGAGAAUUGUGAACUUGGAUAUCAUAAGGCUUAUCCCAAUGGUUUUAGGUUAUGCCUGGGAAAAGGAAAAUGGUUAUCGAGUUCUGAGAAAUUGUGUUUCAAAAUGUGUCCACCUCUAGAAUCAGAUAGUUUAGAUAUAUAUUUAAUGUAGUCAUAACAGUCACUAUGCUAAUUGUUUAAAUCUAUCAAUACCUGGUACAAUAGCAAUACCAUCGUGUAAGCCAACGUAUGUUGCACUAAAUGGUCAAGAAGAGACUCCGCUUGAAUUACGUUGUCAGUCUAAUGGGAUGUGGAACAAACAACUAUAUAGAUGCAAACCAUGUAAUUGUACCGUUUAUCAUUUAAACAUAAGUCUCUAGUAUAUAUUUAUUAUUUAUUUAAUUAACAUCAAAUAUAUCCAAACGCUUUUGUUUGUAUCUAAUACAAAUGUUAAAAUUAAGGGUAAUCGUUUUUUUUAUUGAUCGAAGUAUUGAUCGAAAAUGGUGAAAAAGCACUUGUUGGAACUGCACCUUGGAAUGUUGGAAUAUAUCGAUUCAACCGAAAAAAAUCCAUUCAUGAAAUUAUAUGUGGAGGAACAGUUAUUGCUCCAAAUUUAGUCAUUUCUGCUGCUCAUUGUUUUUGGAAUAAAGAUUUGCCAUCUAAAGUAAUAUCAAUAAAUGAUGGUCAAUUCAAAAUUGCUCUUGGAAAAUAUGAUAGAAAUUUUACAAUAAUUGACAAUAAAUUUACUCAAAUAAUCAAUGUAGAAAUGAUUCAUGUGCAUGAGGGUUAUUACGGAUCAAAAAGAGUCAAUGUAAUAUAGAAAAUGGUUGUUGGUUGGGGAAGAACGGAAAAAGGCAUUCCAAGUCAUUAUACAUUUUUAAUAAUUUAUACAAUUGUCAAUUUAAAUAACAAUUAUAGUUACUUAUGUAUGUCAUAAUACGUCAUAGGUAGUACAUUAUCUAAUCAUUAUAUAAAAAAUUGACACAUAUUGAAUUUAAACAGAUUUUAUCAUAUACUAAUUUUGCAUUGUACAUUGAUUGUUUCAUAAUCAUUCCUAGUUA